Molecule: long non-coding RNA, 830 nt
Organism: Brassica napus (rape)
Lineage: Eukaryota; Viridiplantae; Streptophyta; Magnoliopsida; Brassicales; Brassicaceae
Exons: 4
Source: RefSeq, a predicted model, not a curated record
AUCUAGAGUUUUUAGGGUGUCCACGUAGCAUAUAAAUUCAAGCCAAUCAUAAGUCAAGAAUAUGCCGUGUCAUCAAAUACAUUCGUAACUUUUACGGGUCGAUUAGCCUCCGGCAAAGAGCAAAAUAAUUUUCUCGAUUCACCUUCUUCCACAAACCGUAAUAUCUCUCACCUUUUCUAAAUGUAAAUUCACCUCCUUAUCUCAAGAAAGCCAAGCCGAUUGCUGGUUCUGCCUCUCAGAAGAACAUCCAGUAUCUGAGCAUAAAAGCUGUGAUCUCAGCUCCAGCCAUGCUGUUGAUGACCGUGUAAUCAAUCUAUACAAAACCAAUCACAUCCUCUUCUCGAAACAUUCCUCUGCUCACGAUUCGGUACGACGAAUCUCUCUCUGCCGUGAAGAAGAACCUCGAAGGAAAAUCAGAUUCGGCCAAGGGUUAAAGUCGGUGCUGAUCUCUUACUCUUCAAUAAGUGCUAAAAGCUGCCGAUGAGUAUAGUAGGAGCUUAACAUCACAAUACUAGGCAGCUUUGAGAGGCUUAUGAGAAUGUUGGAAACCACAGGAAAGAGAGUAUCUAGAUUGAAGCUUUUAGUCAGUAGAAACAGAGAAAGACGAAGAAUACUUUUAUGCUGAUGGGAACUUUGUAGAAUAUGUUAGAGACAAGGAAGUGAAGGAUGCAUGUCCUGACAGUAUUGACAUUAAUCCAAUGUAACUAUGUCGAUGUGCUGCACAUGAUACUGAGAAGCAUGAAGAUAGUGAGGACAGUAAGGCCAUAGCAUUAACUUUCUCAAGAAGAUAUUGGAGUCAUAAAGAUGCGUAUUUCUUAACCUGUAGAAAA